GACAGAGGGGGCAAGCGUUGCUCGGAAUCACUGGGCGUAAAGGGCGCGUAGGCGGGAUGGCAAGUCGGUCGUGAAAUCCUUCGGCUCAACCGAAGAACGUCGGCCGAUACUGCCGUUCUUGAGGGAUGCAGAGGAGAUUGGAAUUCCCGGUGUAGCGGUGAAAUGUGUAGAGAUCGGGAGGAACACCGGUGGCGAAGGCGGCCCUCUGGACGGUGACUGACGCUGAGACGCGAAAGCGUGGGGAGCAAACAGG
RNAcentral lists this ribosomal RNA (253 nucleotides) under uncultured prokaryote. RNAcentral's name for it is "partial 16S ribosomal RNA". It matches the Rfam family "Bacterial small subunit ribosomal RNA", at positions 524 to 776 of the family's 1533-position model. The record is from RNAcentral.